Molecule: ribosomal RNA, 137 nt
Filed under: uncultured bacterium
Lineage: Bacteria
Description: partial 16S ribosomal RNA
Rfam family: Bacterial small subunit ribosomal RNA
Source: RNAcentral
UGGGGAAUAUUGCACAAUGGGGGGAACCCUGAUGCAGCGACGCCGCGUGAGUGAAGAAGUAUUUCGGUAUGUAAAGCUCUAUCAGCAGGGAAGAAAAUGACGGUACCUGAAUAAGAAGCCCCGGCUAACUACGUGCC